This 749-nucleotide ribosomal RNA is filed under the name uncultured archaeon. Its description in RNAcentral is "bacterial SSU rRNA". It matches the Rfam family "Archaeal small subunit ribosomal RNA", at positions 620 to 1478 of the family's 1478-position model. The record is from RNAcentral.
UAGUGGGUGAGGGAUAAUUCCUCUUAUUUUCCAGUGAGAACUACCUGUGGAAAGGAUACUCAGUAGAACCGAUCCGACCGUGAGGGACGAGCCUGGGUCGCAACGGGAAUAGUAACCCGUUAGUCCCAGGGUGUAACGCUGCCGACUUGGUGUGGAAGGCCUUCGGGGCAUUCCAGUGCCUGAGAAGAAGUUGUAAAGUCGGCUACUGGGGAGUACGUCCGCAAAGGAUGAAACUUAAAGGAAAUUGGCAGGGGAGCUCCGCAACUGGAGAGCGUGUACAUUUAAUUGGAUUCAACACCGGAAAACUCACCCAGGGCGACUAUCACAUGAAAACCCAGGCUAACGACCUUGCUUGAUUAUAGAGCGGUGCUGCAUGGCCGUCGUCAGUUCGUACCGUAAAACGUUCUCUUAAGGGAGGGGGACGAACGACCCCCUCAUCUAUAAGAAGAAAGAUUCACCCUCCGGGGUGGAGGCACAUAAUGGGGGGGGGGGGGGGGCUAAGUCAGAGGAAGGAGAGGUCAACGGUAGGUCAGUAUGCCCCGAAUCUCUUGGGCUACACGCACGCUACAAAGGGCGGGACAAUGGGCUACGACGCCGAAAGGCGAAGUCAAUCUCGAAACCCGUCCGUAGUUCGGACUGAGGCUUGUAACUCAGCCUCUUGAAGCUGGAUUCGGGAGUAAACGGAACAAACUCCGGGAAUAUCUCCCGCCCUUUGGACGCAGAGUAAUCGGAAGCAGCGCGACAGUCCA